CUGUGUUAGAAGUACAUUUCGUGCAAUUAAAAAUAUUUCACUGUAAACAAUGAUUUCUACAGCUGUUAAUGGGUAAGAUAUAAUAUGAUAUAUCCUUUAUCCUUUCCUUGUAUUUGUUUCAGUAAUGAGGGGUUAUAUGGGGGUUCUUAAACCAAAAUUCCUCAUUUACCACAUAAUGAGAAAGGGAUAGAGAAAAAUGUGUAUACACAUAUAUAAACAGUAUAUAUAUAUAUAUAUAUAUAUAUAUACAUAUAUAUAAACAGUAUAUAUAUAUAUAUAUACAUAUAUAUAAACAGUAUAUAUAUAUAUAUAUACAUAUAUAUAAACAGUAUAUAUAUAUAUAUACAUAUAUAUAAACAGUAUAUAUAUAUAUAUACAUAUAUAUAAACCGUAUAUAUAUAUAUAUAUAUAUAUAUAUAUAUAUACUGUUUAUAUAUAUAGGUACUAUGUAAGAAGAGUGGUCCCGGUGCGCGCACCCACGUACUCGCGCGUUUGACUGUGGCCAUGCUGGAGCACCGCCUUUCUUUUAGUCGAACGAAUCGACCCCCCGGUACUUAUUCUUUGCCGAACCGCUAAGUUACGGGAACGUAAACACACCAACAACGUUUGUCAAGCGAUGGUGGGUGGACACACACACACACACACACACAUAUAUAUAUACAUAUAUACGACGGGCUUCUUUCAGUUUCCGUCUACCAAAUCCACUCGCAAUGCUUUGGUUAACUCGAGGCUAUAGUAGAAGACACUUGCCCAAGGUACCACGCAGUGGGACUGAACCCAGAACCAUGCGGUUGAUAAGCAAGCUAAUUAUCCUGCGCCUAUAUAUAUAUGUAUACAUUAAAAUUAAGGUAAACAUCGGUAACUGAAAACCUUUUGAUGUUGCUGGUCAAAUGUCGAUAUUUAUUUUAUAAUACUUUUUAUUAAUAUUUAUAAUAUUUUCAUUGAAAUAUAACACGCACGUGCAUGAUACAUAUAUAAUACAAAACCACUUUAAAAUCCAAAUUCUCUUGUCCAGCACUGAUCGUCUGAAACCACAAAAUUAAACAGAUUUAAUCAAGAACAUAACAAAUUAACAUAUUUAUUAUUGUAGACCAGUGCAUCACAACUCCAUAUAAGAUUUAGUUGUCAAAAUUUCUGUACAAUUAAUUGGUUAUACUUCCACAAUGCACGAAGCAUUUUUAAUUAUUAUUUUUUAUAUAAUCCUAAUGUUUAAUUAUAAUUAGUUAUCCUUCGAAUGCCUAAUUAUAAAAAUACGGGCAUAUCUCCACGUAUGUGCCCCCAAACCGAUUUUGUUUCCCCAGGUACUACUUGAGAACAGUGGUCCCGGUCCCUAUAUUUAAUUUACAUUUAAUAUAGUGGUCCCUAUAUUUCUCUUUUUACUUGUUUCAGUUAUUUUGACUGCGUCUAUGCUGGAGCACCGCCUUUAAUCGAGCAACUCGAUCCCGGGACUUAUUCUUUUGACGGGGACAUAAACACACUAGCAUCGGUUGUCAAGCAAUGCUAGGGGGACAAACACAGACAUACACAUACAUAUAUAUACAUAUAUACGACGGGCUUCUUUCAGUUUCCGUCUACCAAAUCCACUCACAAGGCUUUGGUCGGCCCAAGGCUAUAGUAGAAGACACUAGCCCACGCAGUGGGACUGAACCCGGAACCGUGUGGUUGGUAAACAAGCUACUUACCACACAGCCACUCCUGCGCCUAAGGCAAACACAAAACGCUAAUUCUUUUCACUUUAAUGUUUUUGUCUGUAUUUAAUUUCAAUUUGCAUAUGUUCAUUAAUUCACUACCAUCUCUUUAAAGUAAACAAAAUUUAAAAAAUUGAAGUGGUGAGGGAUGUGGCGUGUGAAAUAAAAAUUCUUUUUUUUUUGCAUAUUCAUAAUAUCCGACAUCUAAAACGUAGGGAUCCAAAAACAUUUUUUCAAAAAAAUGCAUUUUUUGAGGAGAAGUGUGAAACUACAUUAACCCCUAUGUUGGAAUUUAAUAUGAGAAAACGAAAUUAGUAGGCUUAUACACAUACAUACUGACACACAGACACACAUCACAUCUAGGCACAUAGCCUAGUGGUUAGAGCAGCGGACUCGCGGUUGAGGGAUCACGGGUUCGAAUCUCAGACCGGGCUAUGUGUGUGUGUUUAUGAGCAAAACACCUAAGCUCAACGCGGCUCUGGCAGAAAGUAAUGGCAAACUUCUGCUGACUCUUUCGCCACAGCUUUCUCUCACUCUUUCCUCCUGCAUCUUGCAGCUCACCUGCGACGGACCAGCCUCCACAUAUAUAUAUAUAUAUAUAUAUAUAUAUAUAUAUGUGUGGAGGCACAUGGUUAGAGUAGUGGACUCACGGUCGAGGGAUCAUGGGUUCGAAUCUCAGACCGGGCGAUGUGUGUGUUUAUGAGCAAAACACCUAAGCUCAACGCGGCUCCGGCAGAAAGUAAUGGCAAACUUCUGCUGACUCUUUCGCCACAACUUUCUCUCACUCUUUCCUCAUGCAUCUUGCAGCUCACCUGCGACAGACCAGCGUGACAUCCAGGUGGGGAACCUAUACGCCAAGGAAACCAGGAAACCGGCCCUUAUGAGCCAGGCAUGGCUCGAGAAGGAACAAACAACAUCACAUCUACAAAUUUAAACUUGAAAUUUCGAAACAAAUUCUAAUGUGUCAGUAGGUAUGUGUGUGUGCCCACUAUAUUUUCUUUUCAUUAUUAAAUUCCAAUACUCUUUUACUCUUUUACUUGUUUCAGUCAUUUGACUGCGGCCAUGCUGGAGCACCGCCUUUAAUCGAGCAACUCGACCCCAGGACACAUUCUUUGUAAGCCCAGUACUUAUUCUAUCGGUCUCUUUUGCCGAACCGCUAAGUGACGGGGACAUAAACACACCAGCAUCGGUUGUCAAGCAAUGCUAGGGAUACAAACACAAACAUACACGCACACACACAUAUACAUAUAUACACAUAUAUACGACAGGCUUCUUUCAGUUUCCGUCUACCAAAUCCACUCACAAGGCUUUGGUCGGCCUGAGGCUAUAGUAGAAGACACUUGCCCAAGGUGCCUUGCAGUGGGACUGAACCCGGAACCAUGUGGUUGGUAAACAAGCUACUUAUCACACAGCCACUCAUGCACCAAUAUAAUCAUAAUUUACACACUCUAAAAUGUAUUUGAAGAAAAUUUCAUUCAAUAUCACAAUUUUUUUGCCGAAAGUUUUGAAGAAACAAAAACCGACUCUGAAUUUUCUGAAACUUCUCACCCAAGGACAGUUUGAAUUUUUGGUCUAAAUCUCAACAAUUGAUCAUUAAAUAUCUUUAUGGGGAGAAAGAUAUUGAAAAACAUCAAUACCAUAAAUCCUCGAGUAUAAUACGCAGGGGAUUUUUAGGGGGCUGUACCUCUGAAAAACCUAAACCUUGUGUAUAAUACGCACCCCUUCUCUAACUUGAGUCAAGGAGGUCGAUAUAAUGUCCUUGGUUUGUAAAACUGUAUACGGUAACGUCAUUUAUUAUUAUUGUAUAUAUAACAUAAUGCAAACGUGUAGCUUUUUUGUGCAUUUUGUUUGCAGAAAAUAAAGAAAUAACAGUAAUAACGUUUAAUAAAUGUUGCUUACUGCAAGUUAUGGAUGAUUCUUUUAUGACUUCAUUACUUUCAGGCUUAGCUUAAGGUAUUUUCGCGUUCGACAUCACAAAAUGCAUCUGAAUAAACAUUGCCGGACAGCAAAUAGAGUCUCGGACAUUGCUUAGGAAAUAAUUUUCAUUUUUAACCUCGUAUAUAGUACGGUGGACGCACGCAGUUGUCGAGUGGUACCCGCGUGAGCGGAAAAGACCACCCGGAAAACCUCCACGAUGGUGGAAUUACAAUUUCAGGAGGACGAUUGGGAUCACGUAGAUGAGAAAGGUACGAUCCAGAGAGGAGUGGACAGCGUGCUGUGACCUGCGGUGUCAAAUGGACGCCUGACGGAAUGGUCGGUCAAAGUGAUCAAGUGAUAUAGUACGCACUAGGGAUUUUGACCUUUAAAUUUUGGGAAGAAAAAUGUGGAUUAUACUCGAGGAUUUACAGUACAUCUAGAAAAAAAAUUAGCGCAUGAUUUAAGGUGUAUUUAACUGUUACUUUUAGCACAUCUUACGACCACCUCAUACCUCUCUUCGUUUGUUUGUCAGUCUGAUGUAUUGAUGCUUUUCAAUGUCUUUCUCCCCAUAAACACAUUUAAGGGUCUUUUGGGAUUUAAACCAAAAAUUCACAAUGCACUUCACAUUGUUUUAGCUUUCAAUUAUUCUAGUAAAGUGCUAUGUUUAUGGUUUUAUUUCAUAAAAAUGUAAAAUUUCCUGUGUUGUGUUUCAUCAUCAUCGUUUAGCGUCCGUUUUCCAUGCUAGCAUGGGUUGGACGGUUCAACUGGAGUCUGGGAAGCCAGGAGGCUGCACCAGGCCCAGUCUGAUCUGGCAGUGUUUCUACAGCUGGAUGCCCUUCCUAACGCCAACCACUCCGUGAGUGUAGUUGGUGCUUUUACAUGCCACCGGCACAGGUGCCAGGCGAGGCUGGCAACAGCCAUGAUCAGAUGGUGCUUUUUACGUGCCACCAGCACAGAGGCCAGGCGAGGCUGGCAAUGGCCACGAUCAGAUGGUGCUUUUUACAUGCCACCAGCAUGGAGGCCAGGCGAGGCUGGCAAUGGCCACGAUCGGAUGGUGUUUUUUACGUGCCACCAACAUGGAGGCCAGGCAAGGCUGGCAACAGCCACAAUCAGAUGGUGCUUUUUAUGUGCCACCUGCACAGGUGCCAGACGAGGCUGGCAACGGCCACGUUCGGAUGGUGCUUUUUAUGUGCCAACGGCAUGGAGGCCAGUCGGGGCGGCACUGGCAACAGCCACAUUUGGAUGGUUUUUUUAUGGUAUCACAGCUACAAUUUCCAUUGAUGUUGAUCGAUUUUGACUUUGAUUUUGAUUUUGUUUCUGCUUUUUAAAUAUCCUCUGUAUCUUAAAUUUUUGUUUCUCAAUCAUUUCAGAUUAUCAAAAACAGCAAAGGAUUGUUCUCAUCAGAUACAUCAUCAAUAUUGAUCAUAUCUUAAAGACUAAAAGAAAGUGUUAUAAAGAACAAAUAUAAUUCUAUUUAUAUAAAUGUUUGGGGAACUACAGAGAAAUAUUUCUUCAGAACUAAGAAUGAAUAUCAAUGUUUGUCUUGUUCACUGUCUGAAAACUUUACAAGAUCACUUUGCAUUUUAAUUGAAUCUGGAUUACAAAGGAGUUUGCAGAAACUUCAGAUAAUCACCAAAAUUCACAGCUGAUGGAAAUAUAGCAGCACUAAUAUUUGUUCAGAGUAAGAUAUUAGAACAAAAAAUCGUCUGUAUGGAAGCACUCCGUCGGUUCCGACGAUGAGGGUUCCGGUUGAACCGAAUCAACGGAGCAGCCUGCUCG
This 5384-nucleotide long non-coding RNA is filed under the name Octopus vulgaris (common octopus). Lineage: Eukaryota; Metazoa; Mollusca; Cephalopoda; Octopoda; Octopodidae. The record is from RNAcentral.